CCUACGGGUGGCAGCAGUGGGGAAUAUUGCACAAUGGGGGAAACCCUGAUGCAGCAACGCCGCGUGAGUGAAGAAGUAUUUCGGUAUGGAAAGCCCUAUCUGCCGGGAAGAAGAGAGACGGUACCUGACUCAGAAGCCCCGGCUAACUACGUGCCAGCAGCCGCGGUAAUACGCAGGGGGCAAGCGUUAUCCGGAUUUACUGGGUGUAAAGGGAGCGUAGACGGCUGUGCAAGUCGGAAGUGAAAGCCCGGGGCUCAACCGCGGAACUGCGUUGGAAACUGUAUAGCUUGAGUACGAGAGAGGCAGGCGGAAUGCGUGGUGUAGCGGUGAAAUGCAUAGAUAUUGGGAGGAACACCAGUGGCGAAGGCGGCCUGCUGGACAGAAACUGACGUUGAGGCUCGAAAGCGUGGGGAGCGAACAGGAUUAGAUACCCUAGUAGUC
This 441-nucleotide ribosomal RNA is filed under the name uncultured bacterium. Its description in RNAcentral is "partial 16S ribosomal RNA". It matches the Rfam family "Bacterial small subunit ribosomal RNA", at positions 338 to 795 of the family's 1533-position model. The record is from RNAcentral.